Long non-coding RNA from Drosophila ficusphila, 587 nucleotides. RefSeq lists it as uncharacterized. The record is from RefSeq and is a predicted model, not a curated record. The transcript has 2 exons. Lineage: Eukaryota; Metazoa; Arthropoda; Insecta; Diptera; Drosophilidae.
AAGAUCGUAAAAUGUCAAAUCACAACCUAUUAUGCGUUCUAAUUCUCGCUCAAUGCUUUUUUACAAUUUUGGCCGCAGUGAGUAAGGAAAAUGCAGUGUGUGGAGACUGCAGAAGCUCAAGUAAGGAUAAUUGCAUUAUCGAGAGUGAAUCAGGAUAUAGUGCUUUUGCGGAACACACUUUGGAAAGUUCCAAUUGGUUUAAAAAAGAUUUGACUAAUAAACAUGGUACAGAUCCUUUGAUAACCGCCGAUUUGGACUUAUGCAUUCCCCUCAACAUGUCCAUUAAAGUUUUAGGUGGAUCUUACGCAUUUAUCUGUGUUUGGUCGCCAGCACUUGGUUGUCAAAUUAUAUUUCCGAAAAGCUUCUCAAAAGUAAUGUGUGGGCAAUGCCGAAUUGAGAAUAUGGCGUUAAAACAUGCUUGUCCGUGCAAAAAACCCCAAUACCCAAUAAUCGUAAAAAAGUCGGGGGCAAGACCGCUUUACUCAAGAGCUUUGUGUAUUUUUAUCGGUGCUUAUAGUGUCCAGCAAAUGUUUUACGUAGUAAAAUUAAUGCCAUCCAACUACAGAUGUUAGUUUGAGUAAACCUUA